AAGUACAGUUGAUUGACCCUGAGGAGCUUUUUUGUUAAACAAUUUUAUCUGGAAAGAAGUUUCCCUCCUGUUAAAAAGAUGCGCGUCUAUAGGAAAAAAAAGAAACAGGAAUCUACUACAUUGAUGCAGAGUUCACGACCGGUUUACUCUUUUUCGUCUACUCUCCUCAUUUGCAUACGUUUGAGAUCUAUAUGCCGGUUAUUUUUCCCUUAAUCAUUCGUCAGCAAGAUGAGCUACACAGCACGAGAGAAAGAAAAUAAGACUAGAGGCUAUACACAAAGGAUCAAGGUCGCAUUUUCUGGUUUUUUUUUAAAUUUCCUAUUUUGGGGCUGGUAAUGUCAGCAGUUGAACCAAAUCAUUUGAGCUCGGACUUCUUUUCCCCCCCCCGUGAGUAAUUUCACGGUGACGUUGGUUGUAUUAUAUACUGACGUACGUACGUUGUUAGGACUAUUGCGUUAUAAUUUGUAACUUGUUUUUCCCAUUUCGCUGUUGUUGGUGUAGGACAAAGCCAAACAGGAUUUGAUCAUCAGACACGCAGGAAAUGACCAAAUGGCCAACUAGCGCGUCCUUGAAUUGAAGGUAACUAUUAUUUACUCAUUCGUCGACAGAGAGCGGUGGCGGGGAAAUUCAAACACAAUAAGACAUAAAAGAAACGAGUGGGAAAUCAUCAUUAUAACAACGCCGGAACUAUUGGUGCGCUUGUCUGCAAUUCUUUCACGUAUAAAAAUGAAUCGCCGACCUCCAUCAAUCUGCGAAAUAUCCCGCAGUUCGCCCUUAAAAUCUUUCUCAAAGAUAUAAUUCACAUCGAUCUAGUCAUGCAUAACAGAGGACCUUACUUAUAAUAUAUGCGAAAGAAAUAAUAAAACAAAAAAGUAUAUGAAAAUCACGAAAAAAUAAGGCCCCGUUAUUCAGACAACCGCCCAAGUCAUGGAUGAGACGGACGAGAGAUAAGCAAGGACGUUGGAGUGCACUCACCUUUUUAUUGAAGUCGAAAGCAAAAUGUAUUAUAAUGUACGCCUCUUCUUCUGGAAAGAAAAAAAUUGCCCCGAAGAAAAUUGCAUUCUCAAAUUAUAAUAAUACAACACACGAUUUUGAGACGCUGAUAAUAUUUGAUGUAAAAACAAAAUAAGCCAGACAAAGACUUAACGGAUUUGAUUAAUAUUUGAACCGUGUAUAAUUUGGUGCUGGAAGAAAUUCUCUCUCAACUUUUUUUUUUUCUUUUAUAGGACGCGGGUGAAAUAUAAUAAAAGAAACUUUUGAUGGUCAGAACAAUUGACGAUGUGUAUAAAAAUAAGAAACAAUAGUAUAGAGCGAUACACAGCAAAAAAGAAAUGACAAAUGGAAAAUAUUUUUUGUUGGAUUUUUAUAUAGUUGGUACGUCUAAAAAAUGUAUCAGAUUAUACGUACGUACUUGUUUAUCUUAUUAGGAGAUUGAACUAA
This is a long non-coding RNA of Daphnia pulex (common water flea), 1440 nucleotides long. RefSeq lists it as uncharacterized. The record is from RefSeq and is a predicted model, not a curated record. Lineage: Eukaryota; Metazoa; Arthropoda; Branchiopoda; Diplostraca; Daphniidae. The transcript has 2 exons.